RNAcentral lists this long non-coding RNA (3127 nucleotides) under Homo sapiens (human). Its description in RNAcentral is "HSALNT0155491". The record is from RNAcentral. Lineage: Eukaryota; Metazoa; Chordata; Mammalia; Primates; Hominidae.
GCUAGCUGUUCAGAGGUCAGGCGCUGGUCAGAACAUGAGGAAGGAGGAACACGGUGGCCAUAUCUGAAGUGAUCUAGUAAACAGGAGACAUUUCCUCCAGGAAGUCUGUAGUGGGUAAGACCCAGUUACUACCCUUGAGGAAAGGAAGGUGAUGGGAACUAGCAUCUAUUAUGCACUGUGUGCCAGACUUGAGUAAACACUUCCAAGUCCUGUUCCUUGACUCCUAUGAGGUUAGUAACUUUUAUCAUCGCCAUUUUAAAGGAAGGCUCAGAGGCACUCUGCAGUCACACAGCUGGAGGGGUGCAGUGAGACGCGGAGGCUCCAAGUCUCUUCUGGACUAGGCCUGGAUCUGCCACCUCUUCUUUCGGCUGUGGAUGGCCCUGGGAGACACGCCUGGCCUCAGAUGCCCCUUGACCCAACUGGAGGAAGGGUGGGGGGCCCAGCAGAAAAGCCUGCAGCCUCCCUGGGCACCGUUUCAAAGCUGAUGCUGCUCUCCCUGCUCUGGGUCUCAGCUCCUCCCCUCUUCUGCAUUGUUGACCAACAGCCUGGGUCUGACGCGGAAGCAGAAGAAUUCCCAUUCAACUGGGCCCCAGGGAUGGGGGGCCUCUCUGCCAGUAAGUGACACCCUCUGCUACUGAAAGGCCUCAUGUUCCUGCCCUGCCAAGCCUGGGGUGGCCACCACGUGACAGCACCAGGGACACGUGUCUUCUGGGACCGCUUGUGAGCUGGGUGGCUGGCAAGUUUGUUUCUCCAUGUCCCGCAGCAGGGGCAAGGGUGUGGGUGGUCAUAAUGCACCAGGGCUCUGGGCGGGCUGAGCAGAGUGCAGUUCCUGCUGCCAGCCCCGAUAUGGCACGGACAGCUGGAAAAACUGACCAUGUGGCUUGACUAUCUCAGAGGAUUGCUCCAUUUUUCCUCAGCAUAAUUUUUCCAUGAAUAAUCUUUAAAGCUCUUUAAGUGGCUGUUUCUUUAGCAGUUUUAUUGGAACAUAUGAGAACUGACAGUCUCUGUGGGGAACGAGAUAUCAUGUUGAAAAAAAAUCUGGUUUUCAUUACACUUCUUUCAAGAAAGCAACAGGCUGCCCAACAGACCUCUCAUUGAUUGGAAGAGAAAUGAGCCCAGAGCCUCCUAACAACAGCCUUGGAGUGGACAGGAUGAUGAACAGUGAUGCCAAAGACUCAGGAUCUGAAGGCAGACAGGCCUGGUCCACCACCUGUGUCUGCCAUUUGCAGGAUGAGUGACCUUGAGUAGGUCACCUCACACCUCUGAACCUGAAUUCUACAUCUGCAAAACAGGAAUGAUGACCCUGACUGACAGCCUCCCUGUGAGGAGUAAGCCAUACAGCAUCCCUCCCUCCUUCACGUGACAAACUUUUCCUGAGUCCUGACCUCGGGGGCAGGAGCUGGAGAUACUACACUGGAUUAGAAAGAUGAGUUUCCAGUCAAGUGUGGGAGAGAGAAGUAGCCAGGAUGUAGAACCUGACAAGGGAAGAGUUCAGGAACUUGCCCAGUUGAGCAGCCAGUGAACGGGACAGCCCUGAGCACGGUGCACGUGAGAACACAGAGGGGACCCCUGGAGGGCCUGAUGUCCAGAUUCCUAGGCCACGGGGAGCGCGGAGCAGCAGAUGCUGGGGGAGCCGCUGGUACUCGUGAGGAGCUGGGCCACAUCCAGGCAGGGUGUUGGCCAGAGGUUCUGGGGUGGCUCGUGAGUGACAGCAGUACUGGUAUGCUGGUGAGUGCCUCAGCAGGAGCUCCCUCUGUCCCCCUACCAACUCCCCGAUGUCUGGACGGCACCAGAGCCCGCCUGGGAGGCCACGAGCUAACACUCUCAAGAGGAAAACAGGGGGAUCAAACCAAUGACCCAAGGGCCUACAGCUAAGAACUGCUGGAGCCAGGCUCUGAACUGAGCUCUGCCUGACUCCAGAGGUGGUUUCUACCACCAGGCAAUACAACAGGGAGACACGCAGGUGUGUCAGAGAGCAGUCCUCACAGUGCGAGCACAGAAACCAGAGGCCAAGGCUGAAGAUUUUCCUGGACUCGCGGUGCUGCCCAGGAAUCUUCUGAGAAAACCUGUCAGUUGCCUAUUUGUUGGUGUGGAACUGCCUGUGAAGUCAUUCUGCAGGGGUGGAAAGUGGGGGCCAGCUCUCUGUGGGCAACAGGGACCAUCCCAGAGACAAAGGGCAGCCUCAGCCCACAGACCACUUCGGACUUGAAUCAAGGCCUCAAAGGGCGAGACCUGGGCCACUGUCAAUGUGAGGGCAGCAGGGCUGAAGCCAGGGAUUUGGAAAAUUGGUGGAAAACACUCCUAUGAGCUGGGGCUUGCUCUGCUGUGGAAAACUGCCAGCAUCAGCACUUCUCCCAAGGCUGUGCCGAGUCAGCAGUCAGCCCACUCUGGAGCUGCCUCUGAGGACCAGGUGCCUACAGGACCCUGUAAGGAGCUUGAAGAGUUGUGGCUGACGGAGGGAUUUCUGUCCUGGGCUCUAGGAAUUCUAGACUGGGCCCUUCCUCAAGGAGCUUUCAGUCUGGCGGAGCAGACAGACAUGGGCAAAUAAGCCCACAACUAACUGUGCCAUCACUGCAGAAGGAAGUGCCACGGAGGAGCAUGAGGGCCAGUUGCAGGAAGGAGCCAGGGCCAGCAUGUGCCUGUAAAAGCCAGAUAGUAAAUAGUUCACGCUCUGCAGGCCACAGGGUCUUUGUCCCAAGCACUCAACUCUGCCACUGCUGCAUGAAAACAGCCACAGGCGAUAUGUCAACCAAAGAGGGGUGGUUGUGCCCAUAUGAAAACAGAGGGUGGAUCUGUCCCACAGUUUGCCACAGCCUGGCUGUUAGACGGCCUGACCUGAUUGGGGGUGGGGGUGAUAGUGGGGAGAAGGCUUCCCCGAGGCAGUGAUAUUUAGCUAAAAGCUGCAGGCUGAGGCAAUGAUGGAGGCAGAAUCACAAUAUGACAAUUAUGAUAAUCACAUCACCAUGAUCAAGUUCCACCUAACACGUGUGUUCUAUGUUGCGCACUGUGCUAAUAACAACACUACCCUGUGAAGGAGGAAGAUUUUAUGCCCACUUUACAGAUAGAGACACUGAGGCUUGGCAGUAUGCUGAGUAGUCUGUUCACACAAUUCAGCUGCAUUUUUUGC